Molecule: ribosomal RNA, 468 nt
Filed under: uncultured bacterium
Lineage: Bacteria
Description: partial 16S ribosomal RNA
Rfam family: Bacterial small subunit ribosomal RNA
Source: RNAcentral
GACGAACGCUGGCGGCGUGCUUAACACAUGCAAGUCGAACGGAAAGGCCCUGCUUUUGUGGGGGGCUCGAGUGGCGAAAGGGUGGGUAACACGUGAGUAACCUGCCCUUGACUUUGGGAUAACUUCAGGAAAAUGGGGCUAAUACCGGGUAGGAGCUCCUGCUGCAUGGUGGGGGGUGGAAAGUUUCGGCGGUUGGGGAUGGACUCGCGGCUUAUCAGCUUGUUGGUGGGGUAGUGGCUUACCAAGGCUUUGACGGGUAGCCGGCCUGAGAGGGUGACCGGCCACAUUGGGACUGAGAUACGGCCCAGACUCCUACGGGAGGCAGCAGUGGGGAAUAUUGCACAAUGGGCGGAAGCCUGAUGCAGCAACGCCGCGUGCGGGAUGACGGCCUUCGGGUUGUAAACCGCUUUCGCCUGUGACGAAGCGUGAGUGACGGUAAUGGGUAAAGAAGCACCGGCUAACUACGUG